This 141-nucleotide ribosomal RNA is filed under the name uncultured bacterium. RNAcentral's name for it is "partial 16S rRNA". It matches the Rfam family "Bacterial small subunit ribosomal RNA", at positions 355 to 511 of the family's 1533-position model. The record is from RNAcentral.
UGGGGAAUUUUCCGCAAUGGGCGAAAGCCUGACGGAGCAAUGCCGCGUGGAGGUGGAAGGCCUACGGGUCGCCAACUUCUUUUCUCGGAGAAGAAACAAUGACGGUAUCUGAGGAAUAAGCAUCGGCUAACUCUGUGCUAG